RNAcentral lists this ribosomal RNA (253 nucleotides) under uncultured bacterium. RNAcentral describes it as "partial 16S ribosomal RNA". It matches the Rfam family "Bacterial small subunit ribosomal RNA", at positions 524 to 776 of the family's 1533-position model. The record is from RNAcentral.
UACGUAGGGGGCAAGCGUUGUCCGGAAUCAUUGGGCGUAAAGCGCGUGUAGGCGGCUCGAUAAGUCUGCUGUGAAAGUCCAGGGCUCAACCCUGGGAUGCCGGUGGAUACUGUCGAGCUCGAGUCCGGAAGAGGCGAGUGGAAUUCCUGGUGUAGCGGUGAAAUGCGCAGAUAUCAGGAGGAACACCAAUGGCGAAGGCAGCUCGCUGGGACGUGACUGACGCUGAGACGCGAAAGCUAGGGGAGCAAACGGG